Molecule: long non-coding RNA, 704 nt
Organism: Rana temporaria (common frog)
Lineage: Eukaryota; Metazoa; Chordata; Amphibia; Anura; Ranidae
Exons: 2
Source: RefSeq, a predicted model, not a curated record
CUCUUUCCCUUUUAUGUUUUUCUUUAUUCUCCUUUUGUCUUUGGGGAGACCCCUGUUUCCGUAUUCUAGAGAUUAUUAUCUUAUCUUAGUACUCUUGAGCACUUCUUUUCAUUAUAGCCUGUGACGUUUAUCUACAUUUACCGUCACUUCUCACCUCAGAGCCCCAACAACUUUUUAAUAACUUGUGCCACUACAUAUGUAUGUAGACAUCCAGAAUAUCAAUUUUACUAUUCUGUUUACAGGCUUCUUUAUUAAACCUCCUCGUUCCACCGACUUUCCCUUACCGCUCCUGGUUUCUAUAUGGUCAUUCCAUCUUGGCCCCAUAAUUUUUGGGGGUGACCUCUGUGGUGUUGAGCGGGGUGUUUCACAGUAUGUGGACAGCUGUUUUUUCUGCCUGGGAUGGAAGCUAUCCUUAUUAGACCGCCUGAUGCUGCCGCUUGGACUGCAGCACAUCAUUGAGACACAUCAUCAAGCCACACAAACUCUCUGAAGAAGACCUCCAAAGGUCGAAACGUUCGUUAGAUUGUUUUUACUACAAUGCACAUUUUUGACUGUAUAAACAUUGUUUGUGUACUGCUUCUUAUAAAUUUAUGUAAACGCUGUUUGUGUACUUGAUACAACUCAUGCUCCAUCCAUUUAUGCUACCCAAUUUUUGUCCACUUUUGUCCAAUUUUAACAUGUGAAUAAAUACAACUUUUUUAUUA